CAAAAUCUGUGUGCAGGGCCUGCAAUAUCAGCAGUGGAUAGGCUGAAUAACAGAGAAUGCUAACUCUGUCUUACAGGCUUAUCAUCAUAAAGAAGAUGUUUUGAGGAAAUUAGUGAAAUGUACUUCUCAUUUUCUGAUUCUGGAAAGAGAGAAGCCAGUCUUGGGAAAGAUGAAAGACCAAGGAAGGUUCACCAUCCAUGCUACGGCUCCUGGAGAUCAGGAUUUGCAGGCCAAGCAGCCUAGCACCUGGUAACCCAGUGUUUCAGACCAAGACUUGGAGAUGGAACCCAGCAAGCUAUAAGUGAGAUUGAGUGUGGAUGUGGUUAGUUAUCUGGUAGAGAAAGACCCAUCACCAAAACAAGACAUCUGCCCAUUCAAAAUGAAGGUGAAGGAUUGACCCCCACCCAGUUUUCCUAGGCCCACACAGGCAUCAGGCAAAACCCCAGGUGUGAGCUGACCUGCUUUGAUGUGCAGGCAGGGCA
This is a long non-coding RNA of Perognathus longimembris pacificus (Pacific pocket mouse), 482 nucleotides long. RefSeq lists it as uncharacterized. The transcript is spliced from 3 exons. Lineage: Eukaryota; Metazoa; Chordata; Mammalia; Rodentia; Heteromyidae. The record is from RefSeq and is a predicted model, not a curated record.